GGGCUGUAGCUCAGUUGGGAGAGCACCUGCUUUGCAAGCAGGGGGUCGUCGGUUCGAACCCGAUCAGCUCC
Molecule: transfer RNA, 71 nt
Filed under: bovine gut metagenome
Rfam family: tRNA
About the family: Transfer RNA (tRNA) molecules are approximately 80 nucleotides in length. Their secondary structure includes four short double-helical elements and three loops (D, anti-codon, and T loops). Further hydrogen bonds mediate the characteristic L-shaped molecular structure. tRNAs have two regions of fundamental functional importance: the anti-codon, which is responsible for specific mRNA codon recognition, and the 3' end, to which the tRNAs corresponding amino acid is attached (by aminoacyl-tRNA synthetases). tRNAs cope with the degeneracy of the genetic code in two manners: having more than one tRNA (with a specific anti-codon) for a particular amino acid; and 'wobble' base-pairing, i.e. permitting non-standard base-pairing at the 3rd anti-codon position.
Source: RNAcentral